CCUACGGGUGGCAGCAGUGGGGAAUAUUGGGCAAUGGGCGCAAGCCUGACCCAGCAACGCCGCGUGAAGGAAGAAGGCUUUCGGGUUGUAAACUUCUUUUCUCAGGGACGAAGAAAGUGACGGUACCUGAGGACUAAGCCACGGCUAACUACGUGCCAGCAGCCGCGGUAAUACGUAGGUGGCAAGCGUUAUCCGGAUUUACUGGGUGUAAAGGGCGUGUAGGCGGGAAAGCAAGUCAGAUGUGAAAACCAUGGGCUCAACCUGUGGCCUGCAUUUGAAACUGUUUUUCUUGAGUACUGGAGAGGCAGACGGAAGUCCUAGUGUAGCGGUGAAAUGCGUAGAUAUUAGGAGGAACACCAGUGGCGAAGGCGGUCUGCUGGACAGCAACUGACGCUGAGGCGCGAAAGCGUGGGGAGCAAACAGGAUUAGAUACCCGUGUAGUC
RNAcentral lists this ribosomal RNA (443 nucleotides) under uncultured bacterium. RNAcentral describes it as "partial 16S ribosomal RNA". It matches the Rfam family "Bacterial small subunit ribosomal RNA", at positions 338 to 795 of the family's 1533-position model. The record is from RNAcentral.